CGUGGGUAACCUGCCCAAGAGACUGGGAUAACACCUGGAAACAGAUGCUAAUACCGGAUAACAACACUAGACGCAUGUCUAGAGUUUAAAAGAUGGUUCUGCUAUCACUCUUGGAUGGACCUGCGGUGCAUUAGCUAGUUGGUAAGGUAACGGCUUACCAAGGCAAUGAUGCAUAGCCGAGUUGAGAGACUGAUGGCCACAUUGGGACUGAGACACGGCCAAACUCCUACGGGAGGCAGCAGG
This 243-nucleotide ribosomal RNA is filed under the name uncultured bacterium. RNAcentral's name for it is "partial 16S ribosomal RNA". It matches the Rfam family "Bacterial small subunit ribosomal RNA", at positions 116 to 354 of the family's 1533-position model. The record is from RNAcentral.